AGAGUUUGAUACUGGCUCAAAGCGAACGUUCGCGGCGCGCCUAACACAUGCAAGUCGCACGAGAAAGGGCUUCGGCCCCAGUAAAGUGGCGCACGGGUGCGUAACACGUAGGCAAUCUACCCCUGGGCGGGGGAUAACGUUCCGAAAGGGACGCUAAUACCGCAUAAGACCACGGCAAGCUCGCUUGCUGCGGCCAAAGGUGGCCUCUUCAUGAAAGCUAUCGCCCAAGGAUGAGCCUGCGGCCCAUCAGCUAGUUGGUAGGGUAAUGGCCUACCAAGGCAAAGACGGGUAGCUGGUCUGAGAGGAUGAUCAGCCACACUGGCACUGAAACACGGGCCAGACUCCUACGGGAGGCAGCAGUGGGGAAUCUUGGUCAAUGGGCGCAAGCCUGAACCAGCGACGCCGCGUGAGUGAUGAAGGCCUUCGGGUUGUAAAGCUCUGUGGGGAGGGACGAAAAAUGCCUGGGCGAAUAGGCCAGGAACUUGACGGUACCUCCUUAGCAAGCACCGGCUAACUCUGUGCCAGCCGCCGCGGUAAUUC
Molecule: ribosomal RNA, 540 nt
Filed under: uncultured bacterium
Lineage: Bacteria
Description: bacterial SSU rRNA
Rfam family: Bacterial small subunit ribosomal RNA
Source: RNAcentral